UACAGAGGGUGCGAGCGUUACUCGGAAUUACUGGGCGUAAAGCGCGCGUAGGCGGCUUUUCAAGUCGAUUGUGAAAUCCCCGGGCUUAACCUGGGAACUGCAGUCGAGACUGUCUAGCUAGAGUAUGGGAGAGGGAAGUGGAAUUUCAGGUGUAGCGGUGAAAUGCGUAGAUAUCUGAAGGAACAUCAGUGGCGAAAGCGACUUCCUGGACCAAUACUGACGCUCAUGUGCCAAAGCGUGGGGAGCAAACAGG
Molecule: ribosomal RNA, 253 nt
Filed under: uncultured bacterium
Lineage: Bacteria
Description: partial 16S ribosomal RNA
Rfam family: Bacterial small subunit ribosomal RNA
Source: RNAcentral